CCUACGGGGGGCUGCAGUGGGGAAUAUUGGACAAUGGGGGCAACCCUGAUCCAGCCAUGCCGCGUGUGUGAAGAAGGCCCUCGGGUUGUAAAGCACUUUCAGUGAGGAAGAACGCCUGGUGGUUAAUACCCAUCAGGAAAGACAUCACUCACAGAAGAAGCACCGGCUAACUCCGUGCCAGCAGCCGCGGUAAUACGGAGGGUGCGAGCGUUAAUCGGAAUUACUGGGCGUAAAGGGCGCGUAGGUGGCUUAAUAAGCCGGUUGUGAAAGCCCCGGGCUCAACCUGGGAACGGCAUCUGGAACUGUCAAGCUAGAGUGCAGGAGAGGAAGGUAGAAUUCCCGGUGUAGCGGUGAAAUGCGUAGAUAUGUGGAGGAAUACCAGUGGCGAAGGCAGCCUUCUGGACUGAAACUGACGCUGAGGUGCGAAAGCGUGGGUAGCAAACAGGAUUAGAUACCCCAGUAGUC
Molecule: ribosomal RNA, 465 nt
Filed under: Vreelandella stevensii
Lineage: Bacteria; Pseudomonadati; Pseudomonadota; Gammaproteobacteria; Oceanospirillales; Halomonadaceae
Description: partial 16S ribosomal RNA
Rfam family: Bacterial small subunit ribosomal RNA
Source: RNAcentral